UGCAUUUGUAGCUCAUGAGGAUGAGAACCUCCGGGGGCAGGGAGGUUCGACUCGAGCGAAGCGAGAGAACGUUGCGCCAGCAACGGCCCGCAGGGCGAGCCACGAAGUGGCGAGUAAUCCUCUAUCACCGACCA
Molecule: small RNA, 134 nt
Filed under: Escherichia coli
Lineage: Bacteria; Pseudomonadati; Pseudomonadota; Gammaproteobacteria; Enterobacterales; Enterobacteriaceae
Also listed under: 5 other names
Description: RtT sRNA
Rfam family: RtT RNA
About the family: This family represents a bacterial cis-regulatory element known as RtT RNA. The exact function of RtT is unknown although it is thought that it may be involved in changing the cellular response in relation to amino acid starvation.
Source: RNAcentral